This is a long non-coding RNA of Cyprinus carpio (common carp), 701 nucleotides long. RefSeq lists it as uncharacterized. The record is from RefSeq and is a predicted model, not a curated record. NCBI's taxonomy places the organism in Eukaryota, Metazoa, Chordata, Actinopteri, Cypriniformes, Cyprinidae. The transcript is spliced from 2 exons.
GCCCUUGAAUACGCCCUGUAAAGCCCAGCGUGAAGAUACAGUUACUUGUUGAAUACUUACCUGUCUGUACGAGCUAAAAGCUAUUGCCCUUGAAUACGCUCUGUAAGCCCAGCGUGAAGAUACAGCCACUUGUUGCAUACUUACCUCUCUGUACGAGCUAAAAGCUAUUGCCCUUGAAUACGCCCUGUAAAGCCCAGCGUGAAGAUACAGUUACUUGUUGAAUACUUACCCGUCUGUACGAGCUAAAAGCUAUUGCCCUUGAAUACGCUCUGUAAGCCCAGCGUGAAGAUACAGUUACUUGUUGAAUACUCACCUGUUUGUACGAGCUAAAAGCUACUGACCUUGAAUACGCCCUGUAAAGCCCAGUGUGAAGAUACAGCUACUUGUUGAAUACUUACCCGCCUGCACGAGUUAAAAGCCAUUGCUCUGGAACCCGCUCAGUAAGCCUAGUGUGAAGAGUCAGUCACCUUGCUCAAUAUCUAUCUGUGAUACGAGUAAGAAGUUACUCGCUUCUGAUAUACCGGCGGACAUCCAGGGGCAUGGCCUAGUUACCUUGCUACAUCCUUACCGUUGUUCCUUACCUGUGCCCUCAGGGAUUUGGGUGUUACCUUAUAUCUACCUAGGAGGUCUAUGGGAGUGGAGGAGCUGUCCAGACGCUGGAGAAGAGAAGGGCGCCACGGGAAAUCAAGCAGUUAAGGAAG